ACAUGAAGCUGGAAUCGCUAGUAAUCGCGGAUCAGCAUGCCGCGGUGAAUACGUUCCCGGGCCUUGUACACACCGCCCGUCACACCACGAGAGUUUGUAACACCCGAAGUCGGUGGGGUAACCUUUUUGGAGCCAGCCGCCUAAGGUGGGACAGAUGAUUGGGGUGAAGUCGUAACAAGGUAGCCGUAUCGGAAGGUGCGGCUGGAUCACCUCCUUUCUAUGGAGA
Molecule: ribosomal RNA, 226 nt
Filed under: Bacillus cereus
Lineage: Bacteria; Bacillati; Bacillota; Bacilli; Caryophanales; Bacillaceae
Also listed under: 1 other name
Description: partial 16S ribosomal RNA
Rfam family: Bacterial small subunit ribosomal RNA
Source: RNAcentral